Molecule: long non-coding RNA, 2793 nt
Organism: Gallus gallus (chicken)
Lineage: Eukaryota; Metazoa; Chordata; Aves; Galliformes; Phasianidae
Exons: 2
Source: RefSeq, a predicted model, not a curated record
CUUCAUGGUGAUCCCCUGGAGCCCUCCGCCCUCGCUGACCGACGCCGUGGCCUCCUCUACUGUCAGCCGGUUCCGAAUGGUCUCGUAGGUUUUGCUGUUCAAGGUGGAGUCCAGCACGCCUUGCAAUCGGAAAUCCCGCACCUCUUAAUAAAUUGGAGGAAAUAAAGGGAUGGAAGAGCCACCAAAGACGUGCCAGGCGGUGAUUUCCUGCUGGGCCAGCUUGGGGCUGAGACUUCUGUUGGCUCUUCAUCUCCAGGAUGGGGACCUGGCAAGUGCCAAGAGCAUGAAUGAUGCUAAUUUGGAGAGGAAAGAAGGAGCUCUGUUGGCUGUGACUGUCUGUCCCUACAGUCCUGGUGCCAGAUGGGGCCUCAGUUGUGACAUGGAGCUCUGUGCAGCCCCAGAACGGGACAGAGGCAGGUCCUGCCAUGUCUGUCCUGUGCCACACACACCUGCACAGAUGAGGAACAGAACUGAAUCCCACCCCGCGGGGGGCUCAGCCUCGCACACUGCUCAGCGGCAUGAAAGGAGCUCAUAGCUGAGUUACUCCAAAGACUUUCUGCUUUGUGAAAAAAAGACAAAGUGUAAUUCAUUGAUCUUGAUACACAAAACCGUCACGUCACUUCAUAGAGCACGCACCAACUGCUGAAUUUAAGCCCUGCAUAUUCAUAAAAAUAAGUUAGCCCAUAAAUUAAAUGUUCCCUUUAGCUAUCACUAGUGUUAAUGUGCUACAAGACGCACAAGCCCUCUGAUUCAUGACUAACCCUCCAAAGAGGAUAACAUUUGCAUAUGAUUAUAUUAUUAAAAAAAAACCACAACAACAACAAAGCCAAAUGCUCCAGAAUGGGAACGAGAUCAUUUCAGACAAAAGAGUGCAACACUGGUGGGCUCUGAUGUCCUCCUGGGACACGGGGCUCCUUGGGGCUCGUCCCCAUGCACGAGGUGCAGAAGGCACGGCCCAAACGUGUCCUUCCCAUGGGGCUGCAAUGCAUUCCCAGGCACCAAAGUAUAAACGUGUUUCUCAGAACUCACUGUGACUCCUAAAGAGUGAUGCUCCCAUGCGUCCAUGGAGCCCAACUUUAACCCAGAGCCGCCCGCCCUGUUACAGAUGAUAUCUGCCAUCCCCAUAGAUAACCUGCACUCAGCCCAAGGGGCGCAGGGCGAGGGAUGGCUCCUGGGUGACAGCAGAAGAAAUGCAAACAAAUGCCCUUAGGAUGACACCAGAGCCUGGUCACAGCAAGCAGAUGUCCCGUUUGCACGGCCAGGAAUGUAACCCCGCUUUGGGGUUAGCCCCUCCUGCUCACAGCAGCCCUUACUGCCAGGUGCAUCGCGGCAGCUGGGACGCUCCAAGCCAACAGCAGAAGCAGUGCAGGGCUGUGAGUGCUGCCCGUGCAUCCCAACCUGCCCGAGCCAUCGGCUCGCUGUUUUUUCCUUCUUCCUUUUGGAAUGCAAAUGCAUGAUCAAUAAGUUGCCGAAAUAGCAGGCUUGUCUCUGAAUAUAUAAAUGGCAAAAAUUGAUAUGAAUAAAUCUGCAAGUAGCACACUGAGUGUGGCACAUUUCAUCAAAAAAAAAAGAACCCCGUGCUGGGCUCCUGCUUUCCGGGAGGUGGUGUCAUUACACAUACCCAGGAACAUCUGCAAACCCCCGUUCUCUUUGGUGCGAGCUGAAUGGAAGCAUGACCUCCUGUUCCUUGCCAUGAACCUUGAGUUCACACUCAUAUUUUACAUGUUACAGGAAGCCGCAGCUCACCCCAGGGGUGCGGCAAACAGAAUCUCGUAAGCCAGAUGCAACACUGCUUCUUAAGGCACCUGAAGGAGCUGUAUUCUUCAUUCAAAAGCUUACAUACUAGUAGCUUAAGGUCACUUCAGCUUUUGUAAAGAGCGGGACAAAACCAGGAAUGCUUAUAGGGCUGGGCUGUCAGCAGGGUAGCAGAGGGAUUACAAGGAACCUGUGACUCUGCCUCUUUCUGCCUUUACUGGUAGUUUUUUUGUGUGUGAACAAGUGCCAUACAACAGAUUGAGGCUGGUAUAAAGGCCUGGGACUGUGCAAGAGCACCCCGCUGAGCCUCAGCUGUGCUUGCAAUUAGCAAUAGGCAUGAAAUGAUUAUUGUUGUGGUGGCUGAUGGCAAUCUGAAGUGACAAGUUUUAUGGGGGAAGUUGUAGUGGGGAUGUUCAGCAAGUUUCUGCAAACCAUUAAUCGAAGGCUGCAACACAGUGUAGUCAAAGCUAUUUUAUGUCAUUGCAAAGGUCUCACAGGGAUGCUGAAAGAAUAUUUUUCUGCUCUCAGUGCCUCGAAAUGGAGUUUUUCUAGGUCAGGGAUUCUUUACUGCCCUAUUUAGUGUCAAAAAUACCCAUUUGCCUCAAAUUAGCAGAAAGCUUGUAGUUAAGGGCUAGAGAUUAGGCAUACAAAAUUACUCAGCAGGUGACUGCUGGGUGGAUUUGGGGGUUGAGAAGUCUUUAAAACUGACUACGAGACAUUAUAUACUUCUGACAAAAGAACAUAGUAAUCCUACCUGCUUGCUUUAACCACUGUUGUUUGUCUAUUAUUAUGUGCUUUAAUGCUCAUAAGAGCAAAACUACUGGUGAUACUACUCAAUUACCAUAGUAACUCUCCCCUAUGACCUCUCAUUUCAGUACUCGCUUUCCAACCAGAACCAAUCCAAGCAGGGCAAAUCUAUUUAAAACUGUGACACACACGGCACAAGGAAACCCCGAACGCCGGCUGGCUCCUCUCUUUGUCUGAGACACCGGCUUGUUUUGCAAUGCUGAAAGGCAGCUUUGAAAUGAAGCCUUGAAU